RNAcentral lists this ribosomal RNA (939 nucleotides) under uncultured Bacillota bacterium. Its description in RNAcentral is "bacterial SSU rRNA". It matches the Rfam family "Bacterial small subunit ribosomal RNA", at positions 1 to 917 of the family's 1533-position model. The record is from RNAcentral. Lineage: Bacteria; Bacillati; Bacillota.
UGGAUCCAGACUUUGAUUAUGGCUCAGGACGAACGCUGGCGGCGUGCUUAACACAUGCAAGUCGAACGGGGUGUUUAUUUCGGUAAACACCAAGUGGCGAACGGGUGAGUAACGCGUAAGCAAUCUACCUUCAAGAUGGGGACAACACUUCGAAAGGGGUGCUAAUACCGAAUGAAUGUAAGAGUAUCGCAUGAGACACUUACUAAAGGAGGCCUCUGAAAAUGCUUCCGCUUGAAGAUGAGCUUGCGUCUGAUUAGCUAGUUGGUGAGGGUAAAGGCCCACCAAGGCGACGAUCAGUAGCCGGUCUGAGAGGAUGAACGGCCACAUUGGGACUGAGACACGGCCCAGACUCCUACGGGAGGCAGCAGUGGGGAAUCUUCCGCAAUGGGCGAAAGCCUGACGGAGCAACGCCGCGUGAACGAAGAAGGUCUUAGGAUCGUAAAGUUCUGUUGUUAGGGACGAAGGGUAAGAAUCAUAAUAAGGUUUUUAUUUGACGGUACCUAACGAGGAAGCCACGGCUAACUACGUGCCAGCAGCCGCGGUAAUACGUAGGCGGCAAGCGUUGUCCGGAAUUAUUGGGCGUAAAGGGAGCGCAGGCGGGAAACUAAGCGGAUCUUAAAAGUGCGGGGCUCAACCCCGUGAUGGGGUCCGAACUGGUUUUCUUGAGUGCAGGAGAGGAAAGCGGAAUUCCCAGUGUAGCGGUGAAAUGCGUAGAUAUUGGGAAGAACACCAGUGGCGAAGGCGGCUUUCUGGACUGUAACUGACGCUGAGGCUCGAAAGCUAGGGUAGCGAACGGGAUUAGAUACCCCGGUAGUCCUAGCCGUAAACGAUGGAUACUAGGUGUGGGAGGUAUCGACCCCUUCCGUGCCGGAGUUAACGCAAUAAGUACCCCGCCUGGGGAGUACGGCCGCAAGGUUGCAACUCAAAGGAAUUGACGGA